RNA transcript from Magnolia sinica, 1149 nucleotides. RefSeq lists it as uncharacterized. The transcript is spliced from 4 exons. NCBI's taxonomy places the organism in Eukaryota, Viridiplantae, Streptophyta, Magnoliopsida, Magnoliales, Magnoliaceae. The record is from RefSeq and is a predicted model, not a curated record.
UCUUUCUUUUUAUUUAUCUAAAAUUCUGUGUAGUGAUGCUUUCAAGAGACUAGUAAAAGCACCAAUAAGAAUCUGUGGUGAUCGACAGAUCAAAAGAAUUCAUUCGUCUCCGACAGUUAAGUUCUUAAAAAAAAAAAAAAAAAAUCUGCUCUGUAUUUGAUUUUCCUGAUCUGUUAUUUCAUCUGCUUGUUUUGCUUUGAUCCAUCUCAUUUCAUCUAGAAAAAAUAGAUUUUUUCCAUUGUUUUGAUGGAUUCAUGUGAAUUUCACUUCGGUUAAUUUUCACCAUACAACUUGUUUUUGUAUGUUAUGUAACAAGGAACAGAAGGUUUGAGAGAAUGUUAGCCUCGCAUGACGUGUCUGACUCCCACCAUCAGAAGCAAUCUUCCUUGGUUAUGGUUUCUCAAAGGCAUCAGUCCUGUGGCGAUAUUGAAGAAUGUAGCUCAAGUGACAAGAUAUUCUGACCAAAACCAGCAGCAAUCUUCUAAGAUACAGCAACACUCCUCAAUAUAAAAUGCAUCAAUAAGAAGACAGGAGAGAAGUACAUGGAAGGGCCCAAGGUUGAAAAGUACAAGGAGAUGCUGAUGAAGAAAACUCAAGAUCAGGGCGCCCGGUUUAUUUCUUAUGACCCAGUCAAAGGGGAGUGGAAGUUCAAGGACUUAUCUAUGUGCAAGGAAACAUUGUCAACCCUUAAAGUCAUGCAGGGGCAAGGGGGCUAUCCACAACUAGAACUGGACAUAGCUCACCUUGAAAAGGAAAUUGAGUUAUAUUCACUGGAGAAGCUGUGUUAUGAAGCUCAAAUGAUGGUAUGGUAAAUGAGAAGGCUCCAUCUCCUUUUCAAAUAGGAAAUUGCUUCACAUCUGGGCUUUCCUGAUGGUUCUGUAAGCCACCAUGGUCUGGAUGUUGAUGUUAAUAGUGUGUUAUUAAUGGCUGACAUUGUUCUUUAUGGUUCCUUUGAAGUACCCAUCAUUGCUCCUGACUUGGCUAGCAUAAAAAGAUAUGUGAGUUUAGUGCCAUUUAAACUCAUCCUUGUUUCCUUUACAUUUACAUGACUGAAGUUCGCAAUUUUUUAUUUAUAUUUAUUAAAAAACCCGUCUUAAUACAGGUUGUUAACAGAGUCCAUGGUUUGAUUUUUCAAGCACGUGAACCUGA